GCUCGGUUAGCUCAGUUGGUUAGAGCGUCGUACUAAUAUUAUAUAAUGUCUGAUUAUGUAACAUUGGUAAUGCGAAGGUCAUGAGUUCGACCCUCAUACUGAGCA
Molecule: non-coding RNA, 105 nt
Organism: Xylariaceae sp. AK1471
Lineage: Eukaryota; Fungi; Ascomycota; Sordariomycetes; Xylariales; Xylariaceae
Source: the annotation of a GenBank genome assembly